GUCUCAGAAGCAUAGUGAUUAGUGCACAGCCCAGGAUAAGUUGAGACGCAGGUUCGAAUCCCGCCUGAGAUG
Molecule: transfer RNA, 72 nt
Filed under: Nippostrongylus brasiliensis
Lineage: Eukaryota; Metazoa; Nematoda; Chromadorea; Rhabditida; Heligmosomidae
Rfam family: tRNA
About the family: Transfer RNA (tRNA) molecules are approximately 80 nucleotides in length.
Source: Rfam by way of RNAcentral